GGGCUCGUGGUCUAGCGGUUAUGACGUCGCCCUUACAAGGCGGAGAUCCCCGGUUCGAAUCCGGGCGAGCCCA
This 73-nucleotide transfer RNA is filed under the name Archaeoglobus fulgidus. Its description in RNAcentral is "tRNA-Val". It matches the Rfam family "tRNA". Rfam says of the family: Transfer RNA (tRNA) molecules are approximately 80 nucleotides in length. Their secondary structure includes four short double-helical elements and three loops (D, anti-codon, and T loops). RNAcentral also lists the same sequence under 3 other names. The record is from RNAcentral. Lineage: Archaea; Methanobacteriati; Methanobacteriota; Archaeoglobi; Archaeoglobales; Archaeoglobaceae.